UUUUUUUUUUUUUUGUCUUUUCUAGGGCCAUACCUGUGGCAUUUGAAGGUUUCCAGGUUAGGGGUCUAAUCGAAGCUGUAGCCACCAGCCUACACCAGAGCCACAGCAAUGUGGGAUCCGAGCCGCAUCUGCAACCUACACCACAGCUCACGGCAACACCAGAUCCUUAACCCACUCAACGAGGCUAGGGAUUGAACCCACAACCUCAUGGUUCCUAGUCGGAUUCCUUAACCACUGCGCCACGACAGGAACUCCCCGUGUUAGGUUUUCAAUAAGGAUGAGGUAGAUGAAUGCAUGAAUGAAUGAAUGAAUAGGUACUUAAGUCUGAGGAGUUACUCAAGUUGCUUUAUAUUAUAUAUAAGUAAACUUAUUUAAAACAUUGAAAUUAAAAAAUUUAAACCCUAUGCAUUAAACCUCUUAAUUUAAAAGGUCACAAUGAGAGAAUUUUACAUAAAAAGAGAAGACUGAUAUUUCUUACUUGGACUCUGAAUUACUCCCUAGAAAGCAAAUAAGAAAUGUGCUUCAUAUAUCUUUCUUGAUUCACUUCUUUACAAUGAUUUUCAUGAAAAGAAGCAUGUUUAACAUGUGCAUCUAAAAAUUAAAAGUAGCUCAAGGUGCAGCUCUGAAGCUCUUGUCCACAAAAUACAAUACAAGGAAAAAGAAGAGGUCCCCAACUUAUCCUGGAAGUGAAAUGUACACUCAGUGAAAUAAAGUGGGCAUUGACUCUCCAUUAGGAUUGUAAAAGAAUUCAUCAGGAUCUCUAUAUGGCAUUCAAACAUACAAUUACCAAUACUCUCUGUAAAUAUCUCAUAUCAUUUUCACUGAACAUAAGAUAGAACAAAUAACAUUUUGAUUUUUCUUAAGCUUUUAGAAAGUGAAAUGGCAAAGAGCAUACUGAGAAUUUUUUAUUAGAUGAUAAUAAAACUGCUUAAUUAGUCAGUCUCUAGAGUCAGAACCAUUCUCCUGAAGUCUUCCUGUGAUUUUUCCAUAGGAAGUCACAAGGAUUUUCAUAAAAUCCUCUAGGAUUUUAUUAAGGACAUAGCCACAGGUACUAAACUCAAUGUUUUGCUUAGGGCUCUUUGAUUAUUCAAAACCAAACAUUUUUACACAUAAAUUUGUCUCUUGUUAUUUUAUAACCAUGUAAACACCUAGUGGUCUGCUCCCUGGUUAAGUUAGUUUUCAUGGUGGUACUUCAACAAGUGGAUUAUAAAUUAGUAGAGAUUAUUUGACUAGCAUAUACAGCAUAUGAUUUAUCUAUAUUUAAGCAUAUAUAAAUCAAAUUUGCAAGUUAUAGAUAAGAUUACUCCUAAAAAAUGUAUUUUUAUAAAAUAUUUAUCCAAUCAAUUUCAUAGAAAUAAUAUACUUGGGAAAGGGGUUAGAAUUUAAAUACAACUUUUUCCUAAUUUAUUAUUCAGAAAUAGCACAUAUAUGGCUUAGGAAAAAUACCUAACUUGCUAUUUUCCUAUUUCAGCUGUUCCCUUUUCUUGAAUCCACAGUGUUCAAAAUCAUUAAGAAAGAUCCUUUUUAGACAAAUGCUUCAUACAAGAGCUGACUUCAUGGAAUGUAUAUCAUCAGUUAUAAAACACAUUGUACUCCUAUACUAUUCACCUUAAAGAAUUUUUCAUAUAACUUGAGAUUAUUUACAUGGAAGAGAAUUUACGACAUGAGGAAAUAAGAAUUUAACUUAAGAGUUUAACAUGAGUUUAGCUAGAGGUUAAAGAAAACCAUAUUUGACAUGGUUCAUUUUAUUUUUCAAAUAAAACAUGAAUUUUCAAGAAAUGCAAGUUUUUCAACAGACUGCUUCAUAACUUCUUGUCCAGACAUUAGCAUGCAUACCACUACUAUUCUGUCUCCAGAAAAAUGCUGUUCUUCUAGAUUUGCUUUUUUUUUCCUUUUUUUUUUUUUAAAUGGCUGCUCCUGUGGCAAAUGGAAGUUCCCAGGCUAAGGAGCAAAUUAGAGCUGCAGGUGCAGGCCUACACCACAACCACAGCCACACUGGAUUUGAGCCACAUCUGUGAUUUAUGCCACAGCUUGCAGCAAUGCCAGAUUCUUAACUCACUGAGCAAGGCCAAGAAUCAAACCUGUAUGCUCAUGGACACUAUGUUGUGAUUUAGGAAACCCCUCUAGUAAAUCACAAAACAAAAUGAUCACCAAUUCCUUCCAUCCCUAUAUACACACCCCUCUACAAUGUGGCCUCACAACUCCUUCUAGAAAGAGAUGGAAUGUGUAUCCUUAACUCUUGAUAUCAGGUCAUGGACAUGUGACAUACUUCAGCAAACAUGGCAGAGGCAGAGACUUUAUAAGUGCUUGUGCAAUGAAGCUUGCCCUGUCUUACUGCUACCAUGAGAUGAAGACUGGGCUAGCCUUCUUGAUUCUAGGGACACAUGACAUAGUUGCUUCCAUUAUUGCAGUCAGUAGCCAAACAUAUGAAGGAGGCCACCGAGUAUCAACUCACCCCUAGCUGACUGUGGAAUAGAGCAGGAACCUAUGGGGCCUUCCCCAAACAGAGCCCCCUCCCAUGUCACCCACCUGCCUCUUGUCUAUAGAAAAACUUUAGCCUCCUAGGCCUUUCCCAAGUUCCAAAGAGUAAAUUUAAUUAGCUAGAGAGAAAAUGCAGAAAGCAAAACCUCAAACAAAACAAACUAAUAAUAAUUUAGCCAUUAAACAAAGUCAAGGAUAUUUAGUCCUUCUUUGAAGGUUAUAGAUAAUAUUCUAAGCCAUGUCCUUAGAGCCGUUUUGCAGUUAAUGAAACCUUCAUCAGGUAGAAGAAGUUAACUAUAUGCUGCCCACAAACAUGGAGACCCGACACCAGUUGGGACCAGAAGGUUGAUGAUGCUGACUUCUAAUUACCCACGACUAACCAAUCAGAAUUUCCACAAGUUGAUCAUGCACUCCACCUAACCCCUCCCUCUCCCUGCCUUUAAAAACCUUCCCCUGAAAGCCACUGGAGAGUUCAGGCCUUUUGAGCACUAACUACCUGGACUUCUUGUUUGGUAACCUGCAAUAAACACCGGACUUUCACUCAUUACGAUUCAAGCGUCAAUAGACUGGCUUUACUGCAUGCAGAUGGACAAACUCAAGCUUGGUUUAGUAAGAGCCACAGUCGUGAAUGUGAGCCCAGGAGACACCUGGACAAGAACAGUCCACCUGGGCCCAGCCCAAAUUGCCAACCCAUCGAAUUGCAAGUUAACAAUGAUGGUUGUUUCAAGCUGUUAAUAUUGUGGGUAGCUUAUUAUUCAGCAAAAGCUAAUUGAUAUGCCCCUUCUUAAAAAAGAAAAUCAGAUAAAGUAUUUGCAGUCAAUUCUAGUGGUGCUAAAACUUGACCACACUCUUAAAUUAUUUAAAAAUUUUUUUAUUUCAGGACCUGAUAUAAGUGGUGAGCAUAUUUCUAUAGAACCAAUGCAUUCCAGACACUUUGUCCUACCUAAUCAAAUGCCACUGAGAGAUGCUACCCAUUCAGGAAGGAAAAAAAAAAAAAAACUUUCUAGAAGUAAACAUGAAACUAGAAAAUUAACUGUGACAGUUUUGAUUUUUACAAAGGAACUUCACUGCAUUAUUGAAAAAUCCAAGUUUACCAUGGUAACUGCUUCCUCACACACCACUUUUAUUCCCAACAAAGGCAUUUGUAGAGGAUGAAACAAACUACACUAGAACAUGAAGUUUCUCAUCAUAGUACCUCUGUAAGAUAUCUUGAAAAUCCUGUCUUUAGGCUGCUUUUAUACAACAUUUCUUUAUUACACUUACGAUAAUUAGAAUUGUUCCUACAUGAUUGAAGAUAAUGACAAAGUAUGUUGAAUAUGCUUUAAAAACUGACUAUAAAAUGUUACAUAUUAUUAUAACAACAAAAAAUAUUAUGUUGAGGAGAAUUGCAUUAUGUAGACAUAUUCACUGAUUUAUUUAACAUAAGAGUACCUACUCCCAGAGUUUCCAUUGUGGCUCAGUGGUAAUGAACCUGAACGUGAUUAGUAUCCAUGAGAAUGGGGGUUCAAUCCC
This 3993-nucleotide long non-coding RNA is filed under the name Sus scrofa (pig). RNAcentral's name for it is "lncRNA (ENSSSCG00065001343.1)". Lineage: Eukaryota; Metazoa; Chordata; Mammalia; Artiodactyla; Suidae. The record is from RNAcentral.